Long non-coding RNA from Macrobrachium nipponense, 1178 nucleotides. RefSeq lists it as uncharacterized. The transcript is spliced from 3 exons. NCBI's taxonomy places the organism in Eukaryota, Metazoa, Arthropoda, Malacostraca, Decapoda, Palaemonidae. The record is from RefSeq and is a predicted model, not a curated record.
UCACCAGAGUCCACACACUUAACUGUAAUUCUAUUUUGCUUGUCGAGGCAGUUGUGGUUCAUACCCAUGCUACUACAAAACGCGCGCUAGGAGUGCCCGAGGUAGCUGAUUUACUGCCGAAAUUCGAAGUUGAUGUUACCCAUCAAAAACGAAUGCGAGGCAGCGAGCGAGGUAGUUGCGAUAAAAAUGCAUCAUUUACGCCGUCGUUAAACGAUAGUAUUCUUCUGUAUAUUCGAACGAUCAACAAGACAAACAGUUUCGAAGAAUAAUAUGAGUUCGCCAACGUUAGCUCGGUUAUUAAUGAAAUGACCGGAACUGAAACUAGAUGCCUUCAAGAUUGGGAAUCUGAAUGUCACUUAGAGCCUGUGGGGAAAAGGAAUUUCCAAAUCAUGUUCUAGGAAUAUCAUCUAAUAUCGAAUUCACUUGACCGGUGGAAUCAUAGAUAUAGAGAGGACUAUAUAUCUAUUGGUGGAAUUGCCUACACCCAAGUGGAAUUCAGAAUGGUCUUUCUUUGCAGCUAAACCAAAGGGAUGGCCCGACCCAGGGGAGGUGGAGGGCCCGGUUACAACAACACCCGCUCCCAUAAUGGACAGUGGGUAGGACAUUUUCACAAAAUUGACCAAGAUGACAGUGGUCCUACUGAGUGCAACUUUGGACAAUAUUUAAUCAGCCUCUUCAAACCACUUAUGGUUAAGAGUGGUCGAUAAAGGAAGAGGUACCUAAGAUUCUUCAAACAGCCAGAUGUCAAAAAAUCAUACAAGACAUUAUCUUCUAAAAUUUCAAGAUUUAAAAUCAGGAUGUGCAGUUCCAUUAAACCACUGCAUUUUGUAAGGAAAAUUGACAAAUCCUCUACAGAUAUAGAUAACCCCUCCAGAUUCAAGUGAGUUAAAUUAGUGAAAUAGAGUAAAUCUGAGCCAAAAGAGGAGUAAGGCAAGUCUGGCUGAAUUGGGUUAUUAUUAAGUUUCAAGGUAAAUUUCCUUAAAUUAGGACAAGUUCUUAUUAUAUUCUGCAAAUGAGUUCUUGUGAAUAUCAAACUCAUUGGAGCCAUGGAGAGAUGUUCAAUGGUUAGCGAUUCAAUAUUCUUGCCACAAAUUUCUAGAUACCAGAGUAAUGCUGGCAUACUACAAUUCAUAACAUCCAGAGUUUCAAUAGGUAGUCCUAAUAAAUUAGCAAGUAUA